GAGGCAGCAGCUAAGAAUCUUCCGCAAUGGGCGCAAGCCUGACGGAGCGACGCCGCGUGAACGAUGAAGGCCUUUCGGGUUUGUAAAGUUCUUUUAUAAGAGACGAAUGUCUGGUGUAGGCCAGACUGACUGUAUCUUUUGAAUAAGGUCCGGCUAACUACGUGCCAGCAGCCGCGGUAAUACGUAGGGACCAAGCGUUGUUCGGAAUUAUUGGGCGUAAAGGGUACGUAGGCGGCAUGAUAAGUCAGAUGUGAAACCCUCGGGCUCAACCUGAGGCCUGCGUCUGAUACUGUUGUGCUAGAGUUACUGAGAGGAAGACGGAAUUCCUGGUGUAGGGGUGAAAUCUAUAGAUAUCAGGAAGAACACCUAUUGCGAAGGCAGUCUUCUGGCAGCUAACUGACGCUGAUGUACGAAAGUUAGGGUAGCAAACAGGAUUAGAGACCCUGGUAGUCCUAACCGUAAACGUUGUAUACUAGGUGGUUUGAAGUAUUGAUCCUUUGACUGCCGGAGCUAACGCAUUAAGUAUACCGCCUGGGGAGUAUGCCGGCAACGGUGAAACUCAAAGGAAUUGACGGGGGCCCGCACAAGCAGUGGAGCAUGUUGUUUAAUUCGAAGAUACGCGAGAAACCUUACCAGGUCUUGACAUAUACCUGAAUGGUGUGGAAACACAUCCGCCCCUCGGGGCAGGUAUACAGGUGCUGCAUGGUUGUCGUCAGCUCGUGCCGUGAGGUGUUGGGUUAAGUCCCGCAACGAGCGCAACCCUUAUUCUUUGUUGCUAACAGGUUAAGCUGAGCACUCUAAGAAGACUGCCGGUGACAAACCGGAGGAAGGUGGGGAUGACGUCAAAUCAUCACGGCCAUUAUGAUCUGGGCUACAAACGUGCUACAAUGGCAGGCACAAAGAGUUGCGAUACCGCGAGGUGGAGCUAAUCUCAA
Molecule: ribosomal RNA, 935 nt
Filed under: uncultured organism
Description: bacterial SSU rRNA
Rfam family: Bacterial small subunit ribosomal RNA
Source: RNAcentral